UGGGAGAGCACACCUCCCUUCCUUUUAUGUGCAUACAUUUAAAGCCAAGGCAGGGAGAGCAGCAGCAGCAAAGACCCUCAAAGAAAGUGCAGUUUCCUUUCUAAGUGUGUUUGUGGAAUGCCAAAACCUGCAGCAGGUUAAACACUUAACCACUUAACUGUCAUUAACAUAUCUUUAAAAGUAAGGCAGGGAGGGCAGCAGCGAAAAACUCUGAGGAAUCAGUGAUGACAUUUGAAGACAGGGACAAAAACAAUCAGAGAAAAUAAAGAAAAAAGACAGAAUAAGAAGACAGAUACGGGGUGGGGGUGAGUUGCUAAGCUGUUUGCAGAGGAUGUAUUAAGAACAGUUAUUUUGGCAUUUGCCAACUGGAUGUGUGGAAGGUAAUAAGCUAAAGUUCUAUGGACUCACUUUGACUUUUUGGCCUUCCUAAACAAACUCUAUGCUCAGUAUAAACACUAGCCUGCUUUAUUUUAUAAUUCAAAAUGGUAAAAGAAACAUGACAAAGUUUAACAAGAUGUAAAGCUUUGCCUAUAUAUUUAUUGAUUUGUAAAAAGGACCAAUAAAACUUGUCACAACCUAUAAUGACAGUAACCAUGUUUGAGAAUAAUUUAAUUGAUGUAUAUUUUGAUUUUUUAAUUCGACUCAAGUCCCAUCUGUUAACAUAGAAGACACAGCCUUGAUCUAUACUAUGUAUGACCAGAAGGGGGAGCUCCUGAAGUUUUGCUGUCACUUUUGGAGCGCUGCCAUGUCGUUCUCUUCACACAGCUGAUGGUUUAUCCUGUCCUUAUAUCUUCUAUUCUUCUCCAACUUGUCCAUUUGUAGUUUUUCAUGAUCUUACAAACACACUUUCUCUGGGCGAGCCUAAAACCGUUUCAUAAAGCAGACCAUCAGGAGUUCCAGAGAGAGGGGCUUUCCCCUGGAAACUGUUCCAGGCUGCUCUGCAGGCGAGUAUUCCCCUGUUUUUGGGGUUGCACUUACAGCCAAGUUAUGACCUCAGAAUAUUCAGGCACUGACUCAACUUUCACAGCAGCCUGUGUGUUAACAGCCCGUCCUGAUCUGAAGACGACUCUGUUGCUCCUUAACCUCUGCAAAUCCAAAGCAGGUGAGGUGUACUUGGGUUAAUCGUGGUGGUUUUCCUCUGCUCCUUCACUUUGAUUUGUGCCUUUAGAACAGAUUGUACCCAUGGGAAUAAGAAUUCACUCCUGAUUGUAAAACAGAAAGGUUGCCCUCCAUGUAUAUGAAACUACAGCUGAGUUAUAGAAGAUCAGAUUCUUAUUUUGCUACGUCGAGCAGAAUUUCCUCUCCCAUGGGCCGUAGGAACAGUUAAACCCAGGAUUCUCUGAGAAUCCACAUUUGCUUUCAGUUAUGGGCAUUAGCAUCCCUCUUAUGGGAAAAACCGCGGGUACUUUUUUUCUCUGUAACUGAGCUGUAGAGCAAUACAUCAGACUCCCUCGCCAUGCCGCGGCACAUUAAGGAUGCCCAUUAGAGCUCAUUGGGGCUGAUAUAAGAAAACAAACCUGACGGAUGGCAGAGCUUACAUCAAAGUGAAGGGUGGCAAAAGGAUUUUGCUGAAUUGUGUCGGUUUUCUUUCAGCUGUGGCAUCAUGUAAGACAUAUAGUUCAAGUUCUUGCAUGAUCAAGGUACAAAUUAACCGAAUUUCGCACAGCCAGCUGGAAAGAACUGACCCCCUCGCUGCCAAGACCUACAUGUGAAACACCAUGACUAAGCUGUUUGGGGCUAUGAAGUGCCUUUCCCAAAGUCAAGCGAUGAAAACAAGACAAAUAUCAAGCAGCUGUUGUCUAAAAGCAUCAAAAUUAAUGUAUAAUCCAUGAAGUAUCUUGUGAACACCACCCAAAAACUGUCAAAUCACAUUUAACGCUUGCACAGCAUGCUCUCAGAGAAUUACACUCUGCAGGCUAAGCGCUCCAGCUACUUGGCAGAAGUGGGACAUUCCUGACCAAAGACGUAACCGGGAUUAUUUCAAAGUGGUUGUACUGGAGUAAAAUACGACUCCUGUCAUGUUUGACAGAGACGUAAUAGGAAGUCCUGCCUAGGAAGUGGCCGAAAAACCCUGCAAAGAAUAGAAAAGAUUCAGCAUCCUUUUUCCUCUAAGAAUCAGAAGAGCUCAGUCAAACCCAGAACAUGUUGUUCCUGCUGGAAAAUCUGUGCUCAUGUCCAACCACAACUUCACGAGAGUUAGUAGACUGUAAAAUGUUUAAAAAAGGAAAAGGAUGGUUUUAAAUCAUUUAAACCCAAAUAGUGUUUGAUCAAAUUUAUGCUCAUUUCAGAAGUGUUUCAACAGUUCAUUUGGGAGAUGUGGAGCUACCGAUGCCACGGCCUUGUACAAGCCCCGUACCAUCAGGGUUGCUGGGGUUUGGACUAUGUCCCAGUUGGCUCCUCUCCUCUGCAGAAUAGGGGGUGUUGGGUCUAUGAUCCCCCAAAAAAGUCAGAUUUUGAUUAAUCAGACCAGUGGACAGGGUUCUGAUUCCCCACAGUCCAUUUUAAGUUGACACAGGUCCAGAGAGGUUGUUGGUGCCAGUGGGUUAUGUCUACAUGCUAGCAUGCUUUCGUGGAAGCAGCAAUGGAGAAACAACUUUUUUUUUAGCUUUUUUAUGUCCUAAACAAAGGAAAUGUUGUUUUCAUCAACACUUUCCAGUGUCUGGACUCUUAUGGACUUUGGGUUGUGAUUUAAGAUCCACCACCAUUAGCCUGAGAGACUUGGACAUGUAUUGCAGCCUGUGAGUAGAUCUUGAGUCCAUGAUAGAAGACAGAGCUGUGCAUUUGUUUGAUAGACACUCUCCACUGGCAGCACCGCUGCUCUCCAGACAUGGGGAUUUCCUGCAAUGAGCAAUUUCACCCAUGCACGACUGGAACUUCUCCUGGCCUUCAACAGAGAUCCAGCACUCCCCCCUUGAUCCACUUUAUUACAUCUCUGCUGCCCAGAGACCACUCCCUUAAUAUCUUCAUACUUCUCCCAGUCUCUCUCAUUACUCUUGUUGCCUACAUUCACCCUCUUGUCUUCUCUCACUUGCAGAAAGUUUCCUCUUCUUUCAUCCCUGACAUAAUUCAUGUGUUUAACUUCAUGAUCUCUGUAUUCUCUGAUUCUCUACACUCGGUCCCUGCUUCGCUCAGCGGAGGUCCUCUGCAGGUUUUACUCAAUUCAGACCUGUGGGGGUUUGUCAUUGUGCCAGCUGUGUUUAAGGAAAGGCCUGAAUCAUCCAAACAAAUCCUCAUCUAUCUCUCAGCAGUAGUAAACACACAGACGCACUAACCACCACCUCAACUCUUCAUAUGCUGGUCACUCUUCCUCCAGAAAAGAAGAAAAAACUUGCUUCCUCUUCCACUCUCAUUCAACACAGAGCCUGCAGGAAAAAAAACCUACAGCUGUGUCACCUGUCGUCACUUCCAAAUCAAACAGGCGGUUUUUCUUCAUUGUUAAACACUUCUAAACAUUUACACCACACUGUAAAAGUUACACUCA
This is a non-coding RNA of Xyrichtys novacula (pearly razorfish), 3481 nucleotides long. Lineage: Eukaryota; Metazoa; Chordata; Actinopteri; Labriformes; Labridae. The record is from the annotation of a GenBank genome assembly.